RNAcentral lists this ribosomal RNA (1020 nucleotides) under Staphylococcus sp. SD BAR. RNAcentral describes it as "partial 16S rRNA". It matches the Rfam family "Bacterial small subunit ribosomal RNA", at positions 604 to 1303 of the family's 1533-position model. Lineage: Bacteria; Bacillati; Bacillota; Bacilli; Caryophanales; Staphylococcaceae. The record is from RNAcentral.
CCCGGGUUUGGGUUAGUUUCGCAUUUUUGAUGGAAUUUCACUGGCACAUUUAAAAAUGAUGUAAACCCGCUUAGUAAGGGAGAGGGUCAUUGGAAACUGGAAAACUUGAGUGCCUUUUAGAAGUGGAAUUCCAUGUGUAGCGGUGAAAUGCGCAGAGAUAUGGAGGAACACCAGUGGCGAAGGCGACUUUCUGGUCUGCAACUGACGCUGAUGUGCGAAAGCGUGGGGAUCAAACGGGAUUAGAUACCCUGGUAGUCCACGCCGUAAACGAUGAGUGCUAAGUGUUAGGGGGUUUCCGCCCCUUAGUGCUGCAGCUAACGCAUUAAGCACUCCGCCUGGGGAGUACGACCGCAAGGUUGAAACUCAAAGGAUUUGACGGGGACCCGCACAAGCGGUGGAGCAUGUGGUUUAAUUCGAAGCAACGCGAAGAACCUUUACCCAAAUCUUUGACAUUCCUUUUGACAACUCCUAGAGAUAGAGCUUUUCCCCCCUUCGGGGGACAAAAGUGGACAGGGUGGUGCCAGGGUUUGUCGUUCAGCUCGUGUCGUGAGAUUGUUGGGUUUAAGUUCCCGCAACAAGCCGCAACCCCUUUAAGGCUUUAGUUUGCCAUUCUUUAAAGUUUGGGGCACCUCUUAGUUUGAACUGCCCGUGACCAAACCGGAAGGAAGGGUGGGGGUAUGAACUUAAAAUCAUCAUUGCCCCUUUAUGGAAUUUGGGGCAUACCCCCGUUGCUUACAAUUGAACCAAUUACAAAUGGGGUUACCCGUAACUCCCCGAAGGUCCAAGCCCAAUCCCCUAUUAUAGGUUUUGUUUCCCCCAGUUUCCGGGAAUUGGUAAUCCUGCUACCUCCGAAUCUACCCUUGAGAGCUUGGAUAAUCCCUAUAGUUAAUCCUGUGAAAUAUCUACGCCUCAGUUUCUUACUGCGGUGUGAAAUUACCUGCUCUCCCUCGAGGGUCUCCUGUGGUAAACAGACAUCGGGAUACUGUGAUUGACACAUCCUCAAUGCAAUAGAUAAUGAUG